Molecule: small nucleolar RNA, 104 nt
Organism: Hibiscus syriacus
Lineage: Eukaryota; Viridiplantae; Streptophyta; Magnoliopsida; Malvales; Malvaceae
Product: small nucleolar RNA snoR137
Exons: 1
Source: RefSeq, a predicted model, not a curated record
UUGGUUUCUUAAUGAGAAGCAUAGAUUAAGGGGAAUUUUGCCAGUUUUGAACGGCAUGAUGUUAUCUUUCUUUAGCUUUGUGUUGCCUGUCUGCUGGUAUAUUU